Molecule: ribosomal RNA, 301 nt
Filed under: uncultured bacterium
Lineage: Bacteria
Description: partial 16S ribosomal RNA
Rfam family: Bacterial small subunit ribosomal RNA
Source: RNAcentral
CAGCAGCCGCGGGAAUACGAGGGGAGCUAGCGUCGUUCGGAAUUACUGGGCGUAAAGCGCGCGUAGGCGGCUUUUUAAGUCAGAGGUGAAAGCCCGGGGCUCAACCCCGGAAUUGCCUUUGAAACUGGAAAGCUAGAAUCUUGGAGAGGUCAGUGGAAUUCCGAGUGUAGAGGUGAAAUUCGUAGAUAUUCGGAAGAACACCAGUGGCGAAGGCGACUGACUGGACAAGUAUUGACGCUGAGGUGCGAAAGCGUGGGGAGCAAACAGGAUUAGAGACCCCAGUAGUCCCUGUCUCUUAUAC